UUGCUGGAGCUGAAUGCUCUGAAUAGUCAUCUGCUCCAAUAACUCCUUCAAUGUAGGCUCAGAAGUAGUGGGAGGAUGAGGAGUUGCUUGGACAGGCUCAUGAGACUGCAGCUGCUGUGGCUCCUGGACAGGUGGAGAAGACAUACAAGAAUUCUGGAAUGGUGGUUCUUGAUCUUGAAGCUGUGAAGUACCAUACCAUCCCAGGUCAGGAUCAUUCCACCCAGGAUCGUUGCUAUAUGAAUCAAAAUGAUGCUGAGUAGGGGAGAAUCUAUCCUAAAACAAAUGCUUAAGAUCUUCCCAAUUGGCCCAGAAUUCUGGUGAAAGAUGAAUAAGCCACUCCCAUGCUGCGUCUUCUAAUGAAUGCGGAAAUGCCCUUAAAAACAUGUGAUCAUCAGGGACAUGAAGAGGUUUCUUUGAAGAGCACAUGGUGCAGAACUCCUCCAAAUGUCUAUGUGGGCAUUCACCAGCAAAUCUGUAAGUCCAGAGGUGAGAACGCAAUGAAAUCAACCUCAUCAAGUGGAAUCGGCUCCCAAAGAGCACUCUCAAGAAUAGAAGGAUGAGUCAUAUUGUUCUCAACAUAAAAAUCAGCAGAAUAUGCGUGAGAAGCACUAUCAGAGGCACAGGCAGAAGAAACAGUAUCCACAUAGCCAAAACAGGUAGACAUGCGAAAGAAGGGGGAAAAGAAAAAUGCAAUGAAAAUAUGCAACUAAAGCUACCUAAAUGCAACACACAAUGAUGAACACACAAAAAAGAACAUCACACUCAAAACACAAGACAAAACACAACACACACUAACACAAAAAAAGACCUAAAACUGAACCGUUGGUCCCCGGCAACGGCGCCAAAAUUUGAUGGGCUGUCGCAACCCACACAAAUUUGAUUGCAUAAUAAGAAAUGCAGUAUAGCUAGGGAUUGACUCCUAGGUCGUCUCUCAAGGACCAACUGCGGUUCAGAGUCAAGUCUAACACGAAGGAGGGGGGGUUGUGAAAGGUUUGCGUGGUGAAAUUAAAACAGUAAAAACGAAACUGCUACAGUAAAUACGAAAAUUCACGCUGGAACUGGACAACUCUGACCUUUGCUCAAUGUUUUACCCAUAACUUUUUCUACAGAGCUCUAAAUGAGAUGAGGUUUUUUUUCCUGGAAAGUAGACUCAAUUAUCUUUCUUGUGACAUAUAAAACGUAGCAUUUGGACCUCUGGUAUGGUCGCAGUUAUUUUUUCUAAAAUCGAGUCCAGAGAGUGAAAAUGCUAAACCAAAUACUAAACUAAACAAAUAUCUAAACACAGUUAAAACUAUUAAAAUGCAAUGCUUGAACUAAUAAAAGAAAUGCACAUUUAUCACGAAAAUAGUACUAAAAGAAAAGAAAGCAUGAACAAUAAAAAACAUAAUGUAAAUUAACAAAAAUGCUGAAUACAAAUUAUAAUAUNGAAUAUAAAAUG
This 1438-nucleotide long non-coding RNA is filed under the name Vigna radiata. RNAcentral's name for it is "long non-coding RNA (VRAD_LNC011445)". Lineage: Eukaryota; Viridiplantae; Streptophyta; Magnoliopsida; Fabales; Fabaceae. The record is from RNAcentral.